RNAcentral lists this ribosomal RNA (672 nucleotides) under Triticum aestivum (bread wheat). RNAcentral describes it as "partial small subunit ribosomal RNA". Lineage: Eukaryota; Viridiplantae; Streptophyta; Magnoliopsida; Poales; Poaceae. The record is from RNAcentral.
AUGGGUAUGCAUGUUCUGAUGGAUGUCCGGUGUACGAACCUUGUCAACCCGGUAUGCGACUGGCUUGGUGAGAUAUACGAUCCCGCCUCCAGGGAAUUCGUGAUCCCGGGACGGGGAAGACUUCCAUUGAAUGAGGAAUCCGUGUUCUGCACUUUGGGUGUGCCUCGGGGACAUAUCAAAGUCCCGUACGAGGUUAAUAAUGAGAUCGAGGAAGAGUUGUUCGCCCGUUUGUUUCCUGGGUUGGAGGCAAUGCUGAACACGUCUGUACUGGCAGAUUCUCUGCAGGACAUGACGACGCACGGAGAAGUUUUCAAGAUGAAGCUACUCAUGUACCUCAUCUCAGCUGUUUUCGCGCCGACCACUUCUCUUCGCCCAAGCAACAAAUGUUUCCCCAUCCUGGCGAAUCUGAAAAACGUGAAGAGUAUGAACUGGUGUAAGUUUAUUGCCGACUUUCUCCACGAUGCUUUCAAAAACAAGAUGUACCAGAAGGGUUGUCGUCUGCACUUAAUGCUCAUGUAUGUCGACUCUCUUGAUCUUUUCACCGUGGAUUUCACCGGGAUAGGAGGCCCGCCGCCUACUCACAAGUUUGCUGUUUCUGCGUGGACCAUCAGCGCUGUCAAGGCUGUGCUUGCCGCAGACAGGGCAACUGAUGGCACAUAUGGAAAACUAUAG